RNAcentral lists this ribosomal RNA (468 nucleotides) under uncultured bacterium. RNAcentral describes it as "partial 16S ribosomal RNA". It matches the Rfam family "Bacterial small subunit ribosomal RNA", at positions 28 to 507 of the family's 1533-position model. The record is from RNAcentral.
GACGAACGCUGGCGGCGUGCUUAACACAUGCAAGUCGAACGGAAAGGCCCUGCUUUUGUGGGGUGCUCGAGUGGCGAACGGGUGAGUAACACGUGAGUAACCUGCCCUUGACUUUGGGAUAACUUCAGGAAACUGGGGCUAAUACCGGAUAGGAGCUCCUGCUGCAUGGUGGGGGUUGGAAAGUUUCGGCGGUUGGGGAUGGACUCGCGGCUUAUCAGCUUGUUGGUGGGGUAGUGGCUUACCAAGGCUUUGACGGGUAGCCGGCCUGAGAGGGUGACCGGCCACAUUGGGACUGAGAUACGGCCCGGACUCCUACGGGAGGCAGCAGCGGGGAAUAUUGCACAAUGGGCGGAAGCCUGAUGCAGCAACGCCGCGUGCGGGAUGACGGCCUUCGGGUUGUAAACCGCUUUCGCCUGUGACGAAGCGUGAGUGACGGUAAUGGGUAAAGAAGCACCGGCUAACUACGUG